Molecule: long non-coding RNA, 2024 nt
Organism: Eriocheir sinensis (Chinese mitten crab)
Lineage: Eukaryota; Metazoa; Arthropoda; Malacostraca; Decapoda; Varunidae
Exons: 3
Source: RefSeq, a predicted model, not a curated record
AGCAUGGCCGGUGGGUGAGUGAAGCAACGUGCCCCCAGGUGUAUGGAUCCUAUUAAGUAGUUGUUGAGAGUUGACCCCCAUUGCAGCUGUGGUCUGGAGGGGGAGAAAAAAUAACACAGUCGCCCCUCAAAUAGUACAGUUUUCAAUAGUUCGGUUUGAUGUGGAUUUGAUGUUCGGGGGGGGGGGGGGGGGUUGUCAGGAGCAUGGCCGGCGGGUGAGUGAAGCAACGUGCCCCCAGGUGUAUGGAUCCCAUUAAUUAGUUGUUAUUGCCGUGUGUGAUGAUGAGAGUUGACCCCCAUUACAGCUGUGGUCUGGAGGGGAAGAAAAAAUAACACAGUCGCCCCUCAAAUAGUACAGUUUUCAAUAGUUCAGUUUUAUGUGGAUUUUCACAGAAGAUAUUUUUGGGGUUUUCAAAUUUCCCAACAAGCAGGAAAUUUAAAAAUCCAAAAAGACCUUCCAUGAAAAUCCACAUAAAACCAAAACCGAACUAUUGAAAACCAUGCUAUUUGAGGGGCGACUCGACUUGCAUCUCUGGUAAUGUGUCUGGUCAACUAUGGCCUUGUGUGAGACGGGGGACACUGGCCUGGUCGCACGGGCCUUGCCACAAACCCUCGGCUCAUAAGACUGUUGGGCCCGCACACAGAAAACUGGUGUCUAUGUGUGCAUGUGUUGUCAUCCAUACCCUGUAGUUCUUCUGAUAGGUGGCCCUUGAAUAGCACUCCUACUUAUAAUACAGCAAAUGGUGUAUAUUCGUACUAGUAAACGAUGUCAUUUUUAUUUGAAUACAGUUGUGGAUAUUUCAAGAACACUCUUAAAUAACAAUAAUAAAAAAAGCCUGCUAUUUGCUGCUCCCAAAAAGAAUUCAAAGAGGUGGCUGAAAGAGAGGUCAAAUUCGGGAGGAGAGGUGUCCUGAUACCCUCCUCUUGAGAGCGUUCAAGUCGUAGGCAGGAGGAAAUACAGAUGAAGGGAGAUUGUUCCAGAGUUUACCAGCAUGAGGAAUGAAAGAGUGAAGAUGCUGGUUAACUCUUGCAUAAGGGGUUUGGACAGUACAGGGAUGAAAGAGUGAAGAUGCUGGUUAACUCAUGCAUAAGGGGUUUGGACAGUAUAGGGAUGAAAGAGUGAAGAUGCUGGUUAACUCUUGCAUAAGGGGUUUGGACAGUACAGGGAUGAAAGAGUGAAGAUGCUGGUUAACUCUUGCAUAAGGGGUUUGGACAAUAUAGGGAUGAAAGAGUGAAGAUGCUGGUUAACUCUUGCAUAAGGGGUUUGGACAGUACAGGGAUGAAAGAGUGAGGAUGCUGGUUAACUCUCGCAUAAGGGGUUUGGACAGUAUAGGGAUGAAAGAGUGAAGAUGCUGGUUAACUCUUGCAUAAGGGGUUUGGACAGUAUAGGGAUGAAAAAGUGAAGAUGCUGGUUAACUCUUGCAUAAGGGGUUUGGACAGUACAGGGAUGAAAGAGUGAAGAUGCUGGUUAACUCUUGCAUAAGGGAUUUGGACAGCACAGGGAUGAAAGAGUGAAGAUGCUGGUUAACUCUUGCAUAAGGGGUUUGGACAGCACAGGGAUGAAAGAGUGAAGAUGCUGGUUAACUCUUGCAUAAGGGGUUUGGACAGUAUAGGGCCUACAGAAAUUUGUCUCUUAAUACCCCAAAAACAAUACCCCCGGCUAGCCUUGCGUGGGCGUGAUCAAUAUACCACAGCAAGAUUCUGACAAAAUUUGGAUGUCAGAUUUGGGGUCUGGAUCUGGCCCUGUGUGUGUGUGUGUGUGUGUGUUUGUGUGUGUGUGCGUGUUUGUGUGUACCUUGGGGCAUAUUGCAAGUGAUAGUUUGUGUAGCUAUAUGAUUAUUGUUCAUUACUGUUUGUCCCCCCUCCUCCUCCUCCUCCUCCUCUUCCUCCUCCUUCUCUCCUCCUCCUCCUCCUCCUAUUCCCCAAUCUUCCUCCUUCUUUUUCUCUUCUUAUAACAUUCUUUCCUUCCCUCCUAUCCUCCUCCUCCUUAUCCAUCCCCCUCUCCUCCUCCUCCUCCUCCUCCUC